Molecule: non-coding RNA, 83 nt
Organism: Pangasianodon gigas (Mekong giant catfish)
Lineage: Eukaryota; Metazoa; Chordata; Actinopteri; Siluriformes; Pangasiidae
Source: the annotation of a GenBank genome assembly
UUGCGUUAGAUGACUUGAGUUCGCUGUAGUAGACUUGCGUUCGAUGUAGUAGACUUGCGUUAGAUGACUUGUGUUAGAUGUAG